RNAcentral lists this ribosomal RNA (626 nucleotides) under Microbacterium sp. So1Ps_512. Its description in RNAcentral is "bacterial SSU rRNA". It matches the Rfam family "Bacterial small subunit ribosomal RNA", at positions 387 to 1022 of the family's 1533-position model. The record is from RNAcentral. Lineage: Bacteria; Bacillati; Actinomycetota; Actinomycetes; Micrococcales; Microbacteriaceae.
UGCAGCAACGCCGCGUGAGGGACGACGGCCUCCGGGUUGUAAACCUCUUUUAGCAGGGAAGAAGCGAAAGUGACGGUACCUGCAGAAAAAGCACCGGCUAACUACGUGCCAGCAGCCGCGGUAAUACGUAGGGUGCAAGCGUUAUCCGGAAUUAUUGGGCGUAAAGAGCUCGUAGGCGGUUUGUCGCGUCUGCUGUGAAACCCCGAGGCUCAACCUCGGGCCUGCAGUGGGUACGGGCAGACUAGAGUGCGGUAGGGGAGAUUGGAAUUCCUGGUGUAGCGGUGGAAUGCGCAGAUAUCAGGAGGAACACCGAUGGCGAAGGCAGAUCUCUGGGCCGUAACUGACGCUGAGGAGCGAAAGGGUGGGGAGCAAACAGGCUUAGAUACCCUGGUAGUCCACCCCGUAAACGUUGGGAACUAGUUGUGGGGUCCAUUCCACGGAUUCCGUGACGCAGCUAACGCAUUAAGUUCCCCGCCUGGGGAGUACGGCCGCAAGGCUAAAACUCAAAGGAAUUGACGGGGACCCGCACAAGCGGCGGAGCAUGCGGAUUAAUUCGAUGCAACGCGAAGAACCUUACCAAGGCUUGACAUAUACGAGAACGGGCUAGAAAUAGUCAACUCUUUGGA